RNAcentral lists this ribosomal RNA (452 nucleotides) under uncultured bacterium. Its description in RNAcentral is "bacterial SSU rRNA". It matches the Rfam family "Bacterial small subunit ribosomal RNA", at positions 29 to 526 of the family's 1533-position model. The record is from RNAcentral.
AACGAACGCUGGCGGCAGGCUUAACACAUGCAAGUCGAACGAUGUAGCAAUACAUAGUGGCGCACGGGUGAGUAACGCGUGGGAAUAUACCUUAUAGUGGGGAAUCACUUCGGGAAACUGACGCUAAUACCGCAUACGCCCGAAAGGGGAAAGAUUUAUCGCUAUAAGAUUAGCCCGCGUGAGAUUAGGUAGUUGGUGGGGUAAUGGCCUACCAAGCCGACGAUCUCUAGCUGGUCUGAGAGGAUGAUCAGCCACACUGGAACUGAGACACGGUCCAGACUCCUACGGGAGGCAGCAGUGGGGAAUAUUGGACAAUGGGGGCAACCCUGAUCCAGCCAUGCCGCGUGAGUGAUGAAGGCCCUAGGGUUGUAAAGCUCUUUCGCCGAUGAAGAUAAUGACGGUAGUCGGAGAAGAAGCCCCGGCUAACUUCGUGCCAGCAGCCGCAGUAAAAC